Myotis brandtii (Brandt's bat) is the source of this 602-nucleotide long non-coding RNA. RefSeq lists it as uncharacterized. The transcript is spliced from 3 exons. The record is from RefSeq and is a predicted model, not a curated record. NCBI's taxonomy places the organism in Eukaryota, Metazoa, Chordata, Mammalia, Chiroptera, Vespertilionidae.
CUGGCUUUGCAGCAGAAACACCCUGCUAAAGAACAAGUAUCUUGGUUCACAGCAAAGAGGACAAAGAAAAACAGCAAGUUAUAGAGGGUUGAAUGCUGGAUUGUGGUGACCAGAAGGACUGUAGAUGGACUGCAGGAAAGGGUUUGCAGGGUGAGGAACAGGGGUGCUCUCUGUGCAACAAUGGGGCUCACGACCAUAGAAGGAGCUGGGCAUGAGGUUAGAAGAGCACAGGCUCCUGUCUCAUUCACACUCGAUGAAAAUAAGGAGGAUGGCAUCUGUGAAGACAGGCAUACCCAACGAUGCACAUGUGCACACCACACAAUGACAUGUGCACAGCUGUAAGCACACACGGUCAUGGAGUUCCAGUCACAGGUGAAGAAGUCUUCUCAAAGGUCACCUCUUGCCCCCAUGCUACAAUGUUGCCUUAUAUUAGGACAUGUUGGGACAAAAAUUCACCAGAAUUCUCCUGUUUAUUCUUUCUGACCAUGAUGGGUCUUUUAGUUAUUAAAGUUGAAUAAUCAAAUUUAAGAAUUAUUUCCACCUGGAUCCCCAUGCACAGUUCCUCUCUAAUUUUAUUGGCUGUGAAUCUCUCCCAAUAAAUA